GGACGAACGCUGGCGGCGUGCUUAACACAUGCAAGUCGAGCGGUAAGGCCCUUUCGGGGGUACACGAGCGGCGAACGGGUGAGUAACACGUGGGUGACCUGCCCUUAGCUCUGGGAUAAGCCUGGGAAACUGGGUCUAAUACCGGAUAUGACUCCAUGACGCAUGUUGUGGGGUGGAAAGCCUUGUGCGGCUAGGGAUGGGCCCGCGGCCUAUCAGCUUGUUGGUGGGGUGAUGGCCUACCAAGGCGACGACGGGUAGCCGGCCUGAGAGGGCGACCGGCCACACUGGGACUGAGACACGGCCCAGACUCCUACGGGAGGCAGCAGUGGGGAAUCUUGCGCAAUGGGCGAAAGCCUGACGCAGCGACGCCGCGUGAGGGAUGACGGCC
RNAcentral lists this ribosomal RNA (388 nucleotides) under uncultured bacterium. RNAcentral describes it as "bacterial SSU rRNA". It matches the Rfam family "Bacterial small subunit ribosomal RNA", at positions 27 to 416 of the family's 1533-position model. The record is from RNAcentral.